GUGCCAGCCGCCGCGGUAAUACGGAGGAUGCAAGCGUUAUCCGGAAUUAUUGGGCGUAAAGCGUCCGCAGGUGGUUUUGAAAGUUUGCUGUCAAAGCGCGGAGCUUAACUUCGUACCGGCAGUGAAAACUACAAGACUAGAGUUUGGUAGGGGCAGAGGGAAUUCCCAGUGUAGCGGUGAAAUGCGUAGAGAUUGGGAAGAACACCGGUGGCGAAAGCGCUCUGCUAGGCCAAAACUGACACUGAGGGACGAAAGCUAGGGGAGCGAAUGGGAUUAGAUACCCCAGUAGUCCUAGCCGUAAACGAUGGAUACUAGGUGUAGCUUGUAUCGACCCAAGCUGUGCCGUAGCUAACGCGUUAAGUAUCCCGCCUGGGGAGUACGCGCGCAAGCGUGAAACUCAAAGGAAUUGACGGGGGCCCGCACAAGCGGUGGAGUAUGUGGUUUAAUUCGAUGCAACGCGAAGAACCUUACCAGGACUUGACAUGUCGCGAAUCUUACUGAAAGGUAGGAGUGCCUUAGGGAGCGCGAACACAGGUGGCGCAUGGCUGUCGUCAGCUCGUGUCGUGAGAUGUCGGGUUAAGUCCCGCAACGAGCGCAACCCUCGUUUUUAGUUGCCAUCAUUAAGUUGGGCACUCUAGAGAGACUGCCGGUGACAAACCGGAGGAAGGUGGGGAUGACGUCAAGUCAGCAUGCCCCUUACGUUCUGGGCUACACACGUACUACAAUGCUACGGACAAAGGGUAGCAAGACAGCGAUGUCAAGCCAAUCCAUAAACCGUGGCUCAGUUCAGAUUGCAGGCUGCAACUCGCCUGCAUGAAGGCGGAAUCGCUAGUAAUCGCAGGUCAGCACUACUGCGGUGAAUACGUUCCCGGGCCUUGUACACACCGCCCGUCACACCAUGGAAGCUGGCUUAGCCCGAAGUCGUUACCCUAACCGAAAGGAGGGGGAUGCCGAAGGCAGGGCUGGUGACUGGGGUGAAGUCGUAACAAGGUAACC
Molecule: ribosomal RNA, 996 nt
Filed under: uncultured cyanobacterium
Lineage: Bacteria; Bacillati; Cyanobacteriota
Description: bacterial SSU rRNA
Rfam family: Bacterial small subunit ribosomal RNA
Source: RNAcentral